AUGUGCCGGAGGACAUCACGGGCAUUCAGGGUUUGCUCUCUUGGAUCAGUGGUGAGUUUGGGGGCUGCACAGCCCACAGGUGUGUGUUUGCACAGAGUGUGUGUGGGAAGUCCCCAAAACGGUGAUCAUCUUGCAUUUUCAGAUGUGGCAAGAGCUGCUGAGGUGCCCCACAAGAAGCCGAGAAGCCCUGCCCCAGGAUGCUUCAUCGCUGAGCUCCCUGACAACCCCUGGGAAAGCACAGAGCUCAGCACGGAGGCACAGGCUGCCAGCAGGACCCACAGCGACCCCUUCUGGGGGCUUCCACCAUCCCCUGGGUUCCUGUCUGAGCUGCAGUGUGGGUUGUCACGGCUGUGCCCUGUCGUGCCACCAGCGAGUGCCCGGCUCAGUCCGCUGCCAACCACGCUGGCUGUCACCACACCUCCCUCAGCCCAACCCGCACAGCCCAUCGAGGAGGUGCAGCCAAGGCAGCCCCAGGUUCUUCAUGCUCCCUUUCCACCGUCACUGGGCUCUACUAUCUGCCGGGUGGCAGAUAAGAAAAAGAGGGGCAGCACCAAGCGGGCCAAGCGCCCUGCGCCUGCUGACAUGGCCCAGAAAGGGGAGAGUUCCCAGCAGGAGCAGCCCACCAGCAGCGCUCCAGCCAAGAAAAGGAAGCUGCUGCCAAGCAAGGAAGGAAAAGAAAGAAAAGGCUGCAAACGCCCACAUCAAGUGAAGCAGCCUGGGGCCAACACAGGAGCCAGCAGCAGCGGGCAAAAGGGCACUGCCAGCGAGCUGCACGUGCACCUGUGUGAAUCCAUCCAGGCCGUGCACCCGCUGGGGCAGAGAGUGACUGCGGUGGGGCCGGUGCGCCAGCCACUCUCUGUGCAGCCCCAACCCACACCCAGCGCCAGCCCUGCUGCCCUCCAGCCCCAAGGCAGAGGCUCAGCCAAGGCAGUGCCGGCACCUCCAGGCAGCACGGCGCGGAAGGAGAACGCUGCCAAGACGGUGCAGAGCUGCCUGCGCCCAUCACCAUGGAGGAGCUCAGUGCUGUGCAGGGACCCACUGCCACAGCUGCACCAGCAGCAGCCUCGGCCACAGCGCCCCAUGGACUUUGUGCCCUGCGUGGGGCCCCGGGCAGGUGGCCGUGCGCUACCCAGAGUGCUGGAGGAAUCGCUGCCCAUCACAGCCGAGCAGCGGCUCGAGCGGGAGCGCAUGAAGAGGCUGGCCCAGGAGGAGCGGCAGCGGGCGGCCCAGCAGAUGAAGAUCGGCCCCGUGCAGUUCCUGGUGCAGCGGGAGAUAGAAAUGGCCAUAGCUGACAUGUACGGCUACCUGUAA
This 1311-nucleotide long non-coding RNA is filed under the name Coturnix japonica (Japanese quail). RNAcentral's name for it is "lncRNA (ENSCJPG00005009389.1)". The record is from RNAcentral. Lineage: Eukaryota; Metazoa; Chordata; Aves; Galliformes; Phasianidae.